RNAcentral lists this ribosomal RNA (395 nucleotides) under Rhizophagus intraradices. RNAcentral's name for it is "eukaryotic LSU rRNA". It matches the Rfam family "Eukaryotic large subunit ribosomal RNA", at positions 38 to 428 of the family's 3401-position model. Lineage: Eukaryota; Fungi; Glomeromycota; Glomeromycetes; Glomerales; Glomeraceae. The record is from RNAcentral.
GCAUAUCAAUAAGCGGAGGAAAAGAAAAUCACAAUGAUUCCCCUAGUAACUGCGAGUGAAGAGGGACAAGCUCAAAUUUUAAAUCUAUCGGGUUUUACCUGACCGAGUUGUAAUUUGAAGAGGCGCUUUCUGCGUAUUUGGUUAGCCCAAGUCCUAUUGAAUGAGGCAUCAUGGAGGGUGAUAAUCCCGUCCGGUUGAUCAUUUGCGUUUUACGAUACGCUUUUCUAAGAGUCAAGUUGUUUGGGAUUGCAGCUUAAAAUGGGAGGUAGAUUUCUCCUAAGGCUAAAUAACGGCGAGAGACCGAUAGCGAACAAGUACCGUGAGGGAAAGAUGAAAAGAACUUUGAAAAGAGAGUUAAACAGUACGUGAAAUUGUUGAAAGGGAAACGAUUGAAG